Molecule: ribosomal RNA, 305 nt
Filed under: uncultured bacterium
Lineage: Bacteria
Description: bacterial SSU rRNA
Rfam family: Bacterial small subunit ribosomal RNA
Source: RNAcentral
GGUUUCCUACGGGGGGCAGCAGUGGGGAAUAUUGGGCAAUGGGCGCAAGCCUGACCCAGCAACGCCGCGUGAAGGAAGAAGGCUUUCGGGUUGUAAACUUCUUUUAUGAGGGACGAAAGAAAUGACGGUACCUCAUGAAUAAGCCACGGCUAACUACGUGCCAGCAGCCGCGGUAAUACGUAGGUGGCAAGCGUUAUCCGGAUUUACUGGGUGUAAAGGGCGUGUAGGCGGGACUGCAAGUCAGAUGUGAAAAUUAUGGGCUCAAACCAUAACCUUCAUUUGAACCUGUAUUUUUUGAGUGAUGG